AGCUUCCCCUGAUACUGCCAAC
Molecule: microRNA, 22 nt
Filed under: Schistosoma mansoni
Lineage: Eukaryota; Metazoa; Platyhelminthes; Trematoda; Strigeidida; Schistosomatidae
Description: sma-miR-31-3p
Gene: sma-miR-31-3p
Source: miRBase by way of RNAcentral